UACGAAGGUCCCGAGCGUUGUUCGGAAUCACUGGGCGUAAAGGGAGCGUAGGCGGCGCGGUAAGUCAGAUGUGAAAUCCCGGGGCUCAACCCCGGAACUGCAUCCGAUACUGCCGUGCUAGAGGAUUGGAGAGGUAGCUGGAAUUCUUGGUGUAGCAGUGAAAUGCGUGGAUAUCAAGAGGAACACUCGUGGCGAAAGCGAGCUACUGGACAACUCCUGACGCUGAGGCUCGAAGGCCAGGGUAGCGAAAGGG
This 253-nucleotide ribosomal RNA is filed under the name uncultured bacterium. Its description in RNAcentral is "partial 16S ribosomal RNA". It matches the Rfam family "Bacterial small subunit ribosomal RNA", at positions 524 to 776 of the family's 1533-position model. The record is from RNAcentral. RNAcentral also lists the same sequence under 1 other name.